RNAcentral lists this long non-coding RNA (412 nucleotides) under Ananas comosus (pineapple). RNAcentral describes it as "long non-coding RNA (ACOM_LNC035054)". The record is from RNAcentral. Lineage: Eukaryota; Viridiplantae; Streptophyta; Magnoliopsida; Poales; Bromeliaceae.
AAAAAGAAUAGAAAAUAAAGAGUAAAAAAAUUAGAAAAAAGUAAUGAGUAAAAGAGACGGCUAGGGUUUCAUUAGGAUGAAAAUACAUAGUGACUCAUUAUCUAUAAGUCAUAUUAAAAUUGAUCCUUCAACUUCAAAAGUUUAUUUUUUUUUAUUUACUAUCGGAUAUUUCAUCGGGUCCGGGUCUGGGUCCGGAUUUGAAAACUAUUCCCGACCCUACCCAUUUAAAAGUUAGGUUCGGGUCGGGCCCAAAUCGGGUAUGGGUAUAAAAUAUCCGGACCUAUACCUGAAAUUUUAAUGGGUAAUUUUUUUUAUCCGUAUACUAUUCAUUUUUUAUCGGGUCCGGUUCGGGUCCGGUUCAGGUAUGGGAUAUCGGAUAUUUUGGACACCUUUAGUGUCAUAUAUAUAUAUA